This 695-nucleotide ribosomal RNA is filed under the name uncultured bacterium. RNAcentral describes it as "bacterial SSU rRNA". It matches the Rfam family "Bacterial small subunit ribosomal RNA", at positions 815 to 1515 of the family's 1533-position model. The record is from RNAcentral.
ACUAGUUGUCGGGUUUUAAUUAACUUGGUAACGCAGCUAACGCGUGAAGUAGACCGCCUGGGGAGUACGGUCGCAAGAUUAAAACUCAAAGGAAUUGACGGGGACCCGCACAAGCGGUGGAUGAUGUGGAUUAAUUCGAUGCAACGCGAAAAACCUUACCUACCCUUGACAUGUACGGAAGGCCGAAGAGAUUUGGCUGUGCUCGAAAGAGAACCGUAACACAGGUGCUGCAUGGCUGUCGUCAGCUCGUGUCGUGAGAUGUUGGGUUAAGUCCCGCAACGAGCGCAACCCUUGUCAUUAGUUGCUACGAAAGGGCACUCUAAUGAGACUGCCGGUGACAAACCGGAGGAAGGUGGGGAUGACGUCAAGUCCUCAUGGCCCUUAUGGGUAGGGCUUCACACGUCAUACAAUGGUACAUACAGAGCGCCGCCAACCCGCGAGGGGGAGCUAAUCGCAGAAAGUGUAUCGUAGUCCGGAUUGUAGUCUGCAACUCGACUACAUGAAGUUGGAAUCGCUAGUAAUCGCGGAUCAGCAUGUCGCGGUGAAUACGUUCCCGGGUCUUGUACACACCGCCCGUCACACCAUGGGAGCGGGUUUUACCAGAAGUAGGUAGCUUAACCGCAAGGAGGGCGCUUACCACGGUAGGAUUCGUGACUGGGGUGAAGUCGUAACAAGGUAGCCGUAUCGGAAGGUGC